MicroRNA precursor from Neotoma lepida (desert woodrat), 88 nucleotides. It matches the Rfam family "mir-599 microRNA precursor family". NCBI's taxonomy places the organism in Eukaryota, Metazoa, Chordata, Mammalia, Rodentia, Cricetidae. The record is from Rfam.
UGCUGUCCACAGUGUAUUUGAUAAGCUGACACAGGACAGGAACUUCUUUCACUGUUGUGUCAGUUUAUCAAACCCAUACCUGNGUGAC